GGGGUAGAAAAAUAUAAAUACAUAUUGUUUUGCAAAUAGAUUUAAUUCAAUUUAAUUUCAGUACUCAUUUUUUUUCUAGGGAAGACGGACCUGGGUAUGGUCAGAGUGCCACGAUAAAGUUUAAUCAUUUAUUUGUUUAUUUAAUACUAUUUGAAUAUAACUAUAAUUACGUGACUCAACAUAUCCUUUAGUUAUAAUAAUGGUGUGUUGAACAAUUUUGUGUGUAAAAAGAUUUAAUUUAAAACUUUUC
This 250-nucleotide long non-coding RNA is filed under the name Mytilus galloprovincialis (Mediterranean mussel). Lineage: Eukaryota; Metazoa; Mollusca; Bivalvia; Mytilida; Mytilidae. The record is from RNAcentral.